Molecule: non-coding RNA, 129 nt
Organism: Camelina sativa (false flax)
Lineage: Eukaryota; Viridiplantae; Streptophyta; Magnoliopsida; Brassicales; Brassicaceae
Source: RefSeq, a predicted model, not a curated record
GGAAUUUUCAGUCUCUGACAAAAUUGCCUUUGCUCUGGCCCUCACCGUUUUUGAUAGAUUGGAUGCAAAGACAACUGGACGCAACUUUUUAUUGGCCGAGAUUGAGCAACUCUGUGCCAAUACCGGCCA